GUUGAAAUGAUCUCGACUACUCGAAGUAGUUUGUUGCGGCAAUGGAGAUGUUGCAAGCUGGGACACGUUUGCACUGCUCAUGUUGCUUAUGCUGUGCCGGCAAGAUUCAAUAUCCUCCCUGCUUGUCUGGCUCAUGUUACUUGGUGCGUACGAAUUGCUCCCGGACAUAUGAUCAGCGUCGUAAGGUUGGUGUUGUCGAGAACUCAUUGGCUUCAGAACCGACGAGGAUG
RNAcentral lists this long non-coding RNA (230 nucleotides) under Linum usitatissimum (flax). RNAcentral's name for it is "long non-coding RNA (LUSI_LNC000349)". The record is from RNAcentral. Lineage: Eukaryota; Viridiplantae; Streptophyta; Magnoliopsida; Malpighiales; Linaceae.